Molecule: ribosomal RNA, 1556 nt
Filed under: Salmonella enterica subsp. enterica serovar Enteritidis
Lineage: Bacteria; Pseudomonadati; Pseudomonadota; Gammaproteobacteria; Enterobacterales; Enterobacteriaceae
Description: bacterial SSU rRNA
Rfam family: Bacterial small subunit ribosomal RNA
Source: RNAcentral
UUAAAUUGAAGAGUUUGAUCAUGGCUCAGAUUGAACGCUGGCGGCAGGCCUAACACAUGCAAGUCGAACGGUAACAGGAAGCAGCUUGCUGCUUUGCUGACGAGUGGCGGACGGGUGAGUAAUGUCUGGGAAACUGCCUGAUGGAGGGGGAUAACUACUGGAAACGGUGGCUAAUACCGCAUAACGUCGCAAGACCAAAGAGGGGGACCUUCGGGCCUCUUGCCAUCAGAUGUGCCCAGAUGGGAUUAGCUUGUUGGUGAGGUAACGGCUCACCAAGGCGACGAUCCCUAGCUGGUCUGAGAGGAUGACCAGCCACACUGGAACUGAGACACGGUCCAGACUCCUACGGGAGGCAGCAGUGGGGAAUAUUGCACAAUGGGCGCAAGCCUGAUGCAGCCAUGCCGCGUGUAUGAAGAAGGCCUUCGGGUUGUAAAGUACUUUCAGCGGGGAGGAAGGUGUUGUGGUUAAUAACCGCAGCAAUUGACGUUACCCGCAGAAGAAGCACCGGCUAACUCCGUGCCAGCAGCCGCGGUAAUACGGAGGGUGCAAGCGUUAAUCGGAAUUACUGGGCGUAAAGCGCACGCAGGCGGUCUGUCAAGUCGGAUGUGAAAUCCCCGGGCUCAACCUGGGAACUGCAUUCGAAACUGGCAGGCUUGAGUCUUGUAGAGGGGGGUAGAAUUCCAGGUGUAGCGGUGAAAUGCGUAGAGAUCUGGAGGAAUACCGGUGGCGAAGGCGGCCCCCUGGACAAAGACUGACGCUCAGGUGCGAAAGCGUGGGGAGCAAACAGGAUUAGAUACCCUGGUAGUCCACGCCGUAAACGAUGUCUACUUGGAGGUUGUGCCCUUGAGGCGUGGCUUCCGGAGCUAACGCGUUAAGUAGACCGCCUGGGGAGUACGGCCGCAAGGUUAAAACUCAAAUGAAUUGACGGGGGCCCGCACAAGCGGUGGAGCAUGUGGUUUAAUUCGAUGCAACGCGAAGAACCUUACCUGGUCUUGACAUCCACAGAAGAAUCCAGAGAUGGAUUUGUGCCUUCGGGAACUGUGAGACAGGUGCUGCAUGGCUGUCGUCAGCUCGUGUUGUGAAAUGUUGGGUUAAGUCCCGCAACGAGCGCAACCCUUAUCCUUUGUUGCCAGCGGUUAGGCCGGGAACUCAAAGGAGACUGCCAGUGAUAAACUGGAGGAAGGUGGGGAUGACGUCAAGUCAUCAUGGCCCUUACGACCAGGGCUACACACGUGCUACAAUGGCGCAUACAAAGAGAAGCGACCUCGCGAGAGCAAGCGGACCUCAUAAAGUGCGUCGUAGUCCGGAUUGGAGUCUGCAACUCGACUCCAUGAAGUCGGAAUCGCUAGUAAUCGUGGAUCAGAAUGCCACGGUGAAUACGUUCCCGGGCCUUGUACACACCGCCCGUCACACCAUGGGAGUGGGUUGCAAAAGAAGUAGGUAGCUUAACCUUCGGGAGGGCGCUUACCACUUUGUGAUUCAUGACUGGGGUGAAGUCGUAACAAGGUAACCGUAGGGGAAUCUGCGGUUGGAUCACCUCCUUACCUUAAAGAAGC